AUCGAACUCAGGACCUUGUGCUUUGCGAGGCAGGCGUGGUGCCACUGAGCUACAUCCCUGGCCCCUAGGCGAAUUAAAUACUAAAUGUGAGAUGCUUCAAAAAAUAACAGUAUGUGCAUAACACAGAUCAAAGAUGUCACCUCUUCUGGUUUUGUCAAAAUACAUAGCACGGUGGUAAUUUGUUUCAUGUGCUGUUCUCUGAGUAGAAACUCAUGCUAUGGAGAUGAGGGAAGGUGUCUGUGCUGGAGCUGUGAUGUUGGAUUAUUUAGGGUGUUUGGGCGAACACUUGUUUUUUUAAAACUAAUUGUUGAUGAUCAUGUGGCGUGGGCUUUGUUUUCAAGAGCCUAGGGAAACAGACCAAACUGUUGCUGUGUGAGCUAAGUAUGUCUUUUUAAAGGCUUCCAUACAAGUUCAGAUUUUAGCGUUUCUACGUUUCUUAAACUGUGACCAUAAAUUAGAAUAGGCUUCCAAAUUAAAAUGGUAUUUGUUAGAUUACAUUUCACAUCUAACAUAAGGGAACUUCAGAACUUCUACAUAAAGAAAAGAAGGAUGAUAAAUACAAUUUAAUUUUUGUUUUUGAAAAAAUAAAGCAAAUGAUAAGAUGAAAAAAACAUAGUUCAUGCUUUUCAAAUUUUUAAGAAAGUAAAAGCACAAAUCCAUGUAGCCAGACAAAUGAUAAAAAAGAGAAACCCGUAAGUUAUGAAACUUAUGACUUUGAGUCCGCAUAGAACAGUAACACAAGGGUGUGGCUGCAUAACCCUUGUUCUGUGUGGGUCAUCACAGGCAGCGAAGAACUUAAUUUUCAUAAAGGAGGAACCUGAGGCUAAGAAAUGCACCUUGCCCAGCUACAUCCGAAACCCCUAUUAACCUUUAAAGCUGCAAUUAGUAUCAGUUGAUUGGGUGCCAAACUGAUAUCAACUCAAAGCAGAUUUUAGUUUUUCCUGAUAAAAAAUUUGUGCAUAAAUUACUCAAAAAUGUUUUAAUAUAAAUCAAGGUGAGUAUCAAAACAGUUUUAAAAUAUAUUUUGUUAACGGAACAUUAUUGCAAUGCUAGAAUCGCUUGUUGGUCAUUUUCCUUCCUAAUUGAAAACAGACACACAAGCUGGUGAAAAGCAGAUGAAUAUUAAAGCAAACUGCAUUUGGAAACUUGAAAGCCACGGUUGCCAAUAUGUAAAUUUGUAUCUUAUGUUAAGAAAAAGCAUCCAACACUUAGCAGGAAGGCAAAAGGAAGACUACACGUUCUUUCAGCAUCAGAGUGAACCCAGACCAAAAGACCCACCCCAAACUGUUUGAUUCUACUCUUGGUUAGGGCCCAGACUGAGGUUACACAUAACUUGUUAAGUUUUGUCUAGAGAAAGUACAAAUGAAUUCUGUCUGGUAGGAAAGAUGACCCUAAAGCUCAUGGCUCUAUUGCCAUAAAGAACACUAACCAUUUUUGUCUCUAACUUGGCAAUUUUAUUUCCAAAUUCCUCCUUCAUUGCCUGUAAGUACUGUACUUGGUCUUCCAGUGCUUACUGUUCUGGUUCUUAAUGAGUCAAGUAUUUGCCAUGUUUUCAUUCCAUAUUCUUAUGAGUCAUGCUUCACUUUUAAAAAUUUGUAUUUUAACACUACUAUUGAAAGAAACAAACACCUUAAAUAGAGGUUAUCAUUAUGUGGUCUCAUUUUUAAUAGGAAUAAGAAUGAAAGUUUCUAUUUUGCUGACUCCUAUUUCUUUAAAAUAUUCAAUGAUUUCUGUUUGGGUUAUGCAGACGUUUAAUUGAGAUCUGGCUGAAGCAAUGUAUAGGAAGGACCUUCACCCUUAAUAAAAACACCUAGAGUUAAAACUACUUUCAAAAGUAGUAAAAACUGCAGAAGAAUACAUAGUAAAAGCUUGGAUUGCAAGUAACUUGUUCUGCAAGAUGAGCAAACAUUUCUAGUAAGUUUUAACUUGAUAAAUGAGUGAUGUUUGAAAUAUGAGUACAUGAUCACAACUGAGCCAGUGGUUCCCCCACCUCGCCUCAAGAUUGUCCCCCAAUGGGCUAGGGAUUUAGCUCAGUGGUGCCACCGCCUGCCUCAAAAGUGCAAGGUCCUGAGUUCAAUCCCUGGUACCAAAAAAAAGAUUGUCCCCCCAGCAGCAAGAGGUUAUGGAGAAGAUCUCAUCUGCAGAGGAGUAGAAAAAGCAGAGAAAUCCCUCAGUUCAAAUGAGAUUAGGGAGAUGUGUAAAAUGUGGGAGACUGCACCAAGUUUUGUAGAAAAGCACCACCCGUACAAGGCUGCAAGCGAUGAACUUGUUCAAUCACAAUGCAAUGUCACAUUUUUGAGAAGUCCUCUACAGGAGGCAAAAGCAAGUGUCAUUGGAGAGAUUCCUUGUUUCAGCUGCAUGAAAAGAAAGACUCCAGUGAGCCAGCAGAUAGCAGUGAUUGCCCAGGGAGUCAUCUAGACAGUAACCCUCCUCGCGUCUCCCUCACAGCAGCUGAAGCUUUUCAAAGUCUCGCUUCGUGCUGAAGCUCUGUGGGAGGCUGCGGAGUUGGUGCGGCACGUGCACGUGCUCCGCGGUUCGAGGCGCCUGGGCUCUUGGUCCUGCCGCCCCCUGGCUGACGUCUGCUGCCCUGCUUAGGGCUGACUCCGAGCCAGUGGCCCUGGAGCAGCGUCCCGAGUCUCGCUUGCAGUCCAUCUCGUCUGCCGCCACCCCAGGCCAGAGGUCACUGGCCGAGUGCGAGUCUCUUCGCCCUCGCCCUGAGGCCUUCUCAAGGCAGCGUCCAGAGGGCCUUCUUCAGGAAGAAGCAAGGAUCUCGCGGAGGCUAAAGCUGAAGGCCUCUCCUCCCUUCCUCGCUCCAUGGCCUUCUCCCCGCCCUGCUCUGACCUCGGGGCUUUCACAUUGCAAACCCCUGUUACGCUUUACGUCCCUUUAUUUUUCUCCCAGUACCCACCGCAUGUUUUAUUCAUCGCCGGCUUCCUCCCCCUGGCAGGCCGUGUGUCUGCUUGGAUCACUGCUGUGCGGCAGCCUCAGGACUGUGCCCAGGGGACAGCAGGCCAAAGCCCUGCGGGGGACCAGGGCAGUGGUGACGGGAAUCUUCUCAUGAACUUGCAACUCGGAUCUUGUGGAUGCAUCACUGGCUAAUAGGUGUCUGUGAUGGGCUCACUUGUGCCCCCCAGAAGGCUUGUUGAAGUCUCAGCCAGAUGGGAGCUUCUGGGAGUGGAGUCUGCAGAUCUUCUUCAUGAGAUGAUGGAAUGGAGCAGGAAGGAAAUCUGGACGCAGACGUGGAUGGGUGCCUUGGAAGACGGAAGCAGAGGUCGGAGUGAUGCUGCCCAGGCCUGGGAGUCCUGGGGCUUCCUGAACUGGAAGCGGCGCGGAGUCUUCUGCCGAGGCUUGGGAGAAAGCGCAGCCCUGCAGACACGGUGAUGGCCUCCUGCACCCACCAAAGGGUUUUGAAGAAAAGGUGGGCCUUCUGUCAGAAUGGGCCUGUGAACCAAGAUUCCUGGGGUAUAGGAGGGCAAGAGAAGGCUGUUUCUUUAUUUGGCCGUGACCCUGACGAUCAGGAAAGGAACCAAUGACUGAGCGCCAUACUAAACAUGCUGCCUGCAAGAAAUUCAUGGCCACCCUGUGUGCCUUUGAGACACUCAGCUCUUGCAAAACCAAGGCUCCUCUGAUUUGCGAUUGGAAAAGCAAAGUGGGACUCACUGCAGACUGCCAAACAACAAACCGUUACUAGCAAGCCGGGUGGAAAAGUAUCCACGUUGGCCAAGCAGCCGGGACUGGGAGCUGUCAGCCUGGGCCUGCAGGACAGAAAUCGUUUCCAUCACGAGUCCUGGCAGCCAAUAGACUUACCGGGACUGGACCAGCUUCUUGCAUGGGGAGAGUGGAGGCUCAUGGGGGAGGCGCCUGUGUGUUGAGAGCCACAGUCUCCGUGUCCUGCCAGCACACGGCAAGGGCAGCGUCCGCCUCUCUACCUGCACUGUUCUGCCCCUCCCUGCCUGUGUGGUGUUCUCUCCAAGAAUAUCUUUUUCUCUUUUCCUGAUUUACUUCACUCUUGCUCAUUCUUCAAGAAUUGGCCAGUUUCCACCAUUACCUUUAAUCUUCCCCUCCAGGGUCAGUGCCUGCCCCUGCCUCUGUCUAGCUCCACUAUGCUGAUGCCUCAUAGCUGGCAGCCUUGGUGUCCCGGGCUUUGCAGGAAGCAGACUUGUGGGCUUGGGGCAUAGCCGGGUGGUAGAGUGCAUGCUUAGCCCAUGUGAGCCCCUGGGUUCGAUUCCCAGCACCGAAGAAAAAAGAAAAAGGAGGGUGGGUUCUUUGCCCUGUGCAGAUCUCCCGGCCCAGAGCGUGGUCUCCCGGCCCCAGGUGGUUUGGGUGCGCUGUGGCUGCAGAAGCCCAGCUGUCACAUCUCUGGGGUGACCUUUGGAGCAGCAGCAUCAGUGGCACCUGGAACAUGUUAGAGGUGCGGGUUUGGGCCCUCCCCAAAGCGGCCGAAUCUGAGUCCCUGGAAGCUGCCUCCGGUUGGGGACCGCUGCUCUUGUCCUUUGGCUUAGCGUCUGUCAUGGGCCUUCAUUCUGUGGGUGUUUGCUGUCCCCUUCAACAUGGGGGCCUGCCUGCAGAAGCCAUAUCAGUCAAGGUUGAGUGUGUUUCUGGUGCUGAUCCAGCUGUGCGCAUGUGUGACAUGUCCCGUGACCCCGCACUUGGCCACCUGCAAGGCUCUGAACAAGGAGGUGGGGUGUGGGGAGGGGGUCGGCAGCUGGGGGAGGGCCUCCCUGCACCCCUCUCCAGGGCUGAGCUCUUGGGGUGUUACGUGCGCUUCCUCUCUCAAAUGGAGACCGUCAGUACCAUGUGAUUUUGUUAUCUCAGCCUGACUGGAUCCAGAAUUCGGUCUCCCAUAGUUUUAUGUGGUUUUCCUUCCUGGAAAAAAGUCAUUUUUAUUUGCUAUUAAAAUAAAGCUGUGCUGG
Heterocephalus glaber (naked mole-rat) is the source of this 4913-nucleotide long non-coding RNA. The record is from Ensembl. Lineage: Eukaryota; Metazoa; Chordata; Mammalia; Rodentia; Bathyergidae.